Molecule: ribosomal RNA, 253 nt
Filed under: uncultured bacterium
Lineage: Bacteria
Description: partial 16S ribosomal RNA
Rfam family: Bacterial small subunit ribosomal RNA
Source: RNAcentral
UACAGAGGUCUCAAGCGUUGUUCGGAUUCAUUGGGCGUAAAGGGUGCGUAGGCGGCGCGGUAAGUCGGGUGUGAAAUCUCGGAGCUUAACUCCGAAACUGCAUUCGAUACUGCCGUGCUUGAGGACUGGAGAGGAGACUGGAAUUUACGGUGUAGCGGUGAAAUGCGUAGAUAUCGUAAGGAAGACCAGUGGCGAAGGCGGGUCUCUGGACAAUUCCUGACGCUGAGGCACGAAGGCCAGGGGAGCAAACGGG